This 481-nucleotide ribosomal RNA is filed under the name uncultured bacterium. RNAcentral describes it as "partial 16S ribosomal RNA". It matches the Rfam family "Bacterial small subunit ribosomal RNA", at positions 28 to 507 of the family's 1533-position model. The record is from RNAcentral.
GAUGAACGCUGGCGGCGUGCCUAACACAUGCAAGUCGAACGGAGAUUACGGACGGAAGUUUUCGGAUGGAAGCCUGUAAUUCUUAGUGGCGGACGGGUGAGUAACGCGUGGGCAACCUGCCCUAUACAGGGGGAUAGCAGCUGGAAACGGCUGGUAAGACCGCAUAAGUCGGUUAAAUCGCAUGAUUUGAUCGGGAAAUGAGCAAUCAGGUAUAGGAUGGGCCCGCGUCCGAUUAGCCAGUUGGCAGGGUAAAAGCCUACCAAAGCAACGAUCGGUAGCCGGACUGAGAGGUCGGACGGCCACAUUGGGACUGAGACACGGCCCAAACUCCUACGGGAAGCAGCAGUGGGGGAUAUUGCACAAUGGAGGAAACUCUGAUGCAGCGACGCCGCGUGAGUGAAGAAGUAUUUCGGUAUGUAAAGCUCUAUCAGCAGGGAAGAUGAUGACGGUACCUGACUAAGAAGCCCCGGCUAACUACGUG